Unclassified non-coding RNA from Fukomys damarensis (Damara mole-rat), 328 nucleotides. Its record names the gene 7SK. It matches the Rfam family "7SK RNA". Rfam says of the family: 7SK was discovered as an abundant small nuclear RNA in the mid-70s but a possible function has only recently been suggested. Two independent studies have found that 7SK RNA binds the CDK9/cyclin T complex (known as elongation factor P-TEFb). The record is from Ensembl. NCBI's taxonomy places the organism in Eukaryota, Metazoa, Chordata, Mammalia, Rodentia, Bathyergidae.
AGAAGGGUGGUCUGGUUGCGACAUCUGUCACCAGAUUGAUUGCCAGCAUUGAUCAGCUGCUCUGGCUGGCUAGGUGUAGCCCUUGUCCUCCCUCACUGCUCCAUGUGUGUCCCUCCUGAAGCUAGGUGCUUAAUUGAAGAGGACAACCACCUCUGGUAGAGGAAGACCAUUUCCUUGCUCAAGGGUAUCCCAGAAGCUGCAGUCCCCUCGUAGCUGGAACUUCCAAACAAGCUCUCAAAUAUCAAUGUCUCUAUGGAGGUGUAAGUAGAGUAUUUCAUUCAGUAAGAACAUAGUUUGAGACAAUGUACUGCAACACGAGGUAUUACUU